Molecule: ribosomal RNA, 453 nt
Filed under: uncultured bacterium
Lineage: Bacteria
Description: bacterial SSU rRNA
Rfam family: Bacterial small subunit ribosomal RNA
Source: RNAcentral
UACGGGAGGCAGCAGGGGGAAUAUUGCACAAUGGGCGCAAGCCUGAUGCAGCCAUGCCGCGUGUAUGAAAAAGGCCUUCGGGUUGUAAAGUACUUUCAGUCGUGAGGAAGGUGUUAAGGUUAAUAACCUUAGCAAUUGACGUUAGCGACAGAAGAAGCACCGGCUAACUCCGUGCCAGCAGCCGCGGUAAUACGGAGGGUGCGAGCGUUAAUCGGAAUUACUGGGCGUAAAGGGCACGCAGGCGGUUAAUUAAGUUGGAUGUGAAAUCCCCGGGCUUAACCUGGGAAUGGCAUUCAAGACUGGUUAGCUAGAGUCUUGUAGAGGGGGUAGAAUUCCAUGUGUAGCGGUGAAAUGCGUAGAGAUGUGGAGGAAUACCGGUGGCGAAGGCGGCCCCUGGACAAAGACUGACGCUCAUGUGCGAAAGCGUGGGGAGCAAAACAGGGAUUAGAUACC